AAAACAUUCUUCCCCCUUAGUAUGGGAGACAGAAAAGGAACAAGGAGCCAUAGAAUCAGUACCGCAAGGGAACGCUGAAAGAGAAGUGAAAUAAAUCAGUAAAGCAUAGACAAGCAGGGCUUAAACCCCGUACCUUUUGCAUCAUUGAUUAGCUAGUAACAGCAGGCAAGGAGAACCAUAGCCUGCAACCCCGAAACUGGGUGAGCUACUCCGAGACAGCCUAUACUAGGGCAAACCCGUCUCUGUGGCAAAAGAGUGGGAAGAUCUCCGAGUAGAAGUGAUAAACUUACCGAACCCUGUUAUAGCUGGUUGCCUGGGAAGUGGAUAUAAGUUCAGCCCCACCUCUUCUUUUCCCAUAAACAACGUAUAACUUGUGGCAAUAAGAAGGGAGGGGAGUUAGUCAAAGGGGGUACAGCCCCUUUGAAUAAGGAAACAACUUUUUAAGGAGGAUAAGGAUUAUAGCCUUCAAGGGAUGGUAGCUCAGUGGGCCUAAAAGCAGCCACCUGAAUCGAGGGCGUCAAAGCUUAAGCACAACACCACCCGCUUAUCCCAAUAAACCCAUCCAAAGCCCCGCCCAUUACCAGGCCUUUCUAUACCCCAUAGAAGAGAACAUGCUAGUAUGAGUAAUAAGAAAACCUUGAGACUUUCUCCUCGCACACGUGUAACCCAGCACGGACAACCCACCGAAAAUUAACGGACCCAAUGCAAGAGGGCAGUGACAAGCAACGCAGUGACCGGAAAAACAUUCAACCCCAACCGUUAACCCCACACAGGUGUGCUUAAAGGAAAGACUAAAAGAGGGAGAAGGAACUCGGCAAACAAUCCUACAAAGCCUCGCCUGUUUACCAAAAACAUCGCCUCUUGCGAACACAUUUAGAAUAAGAGGUCCAACCUGCCCAGUGACACCCUGUUCAACGGCCGCGGUAUUUUGACCGUGCUAAGGUAGCGCAAUCACUUGUCUCUUAAAUGGGGACCUGUAUGAAAGGUAUAACGAGGGCUUAACUGUCUCCUCCCUCCAGUCAAUGAAAUUGAUCUCCCCGUGCAGAAGCGGGGAUUCUAACAUAAGACGAGAAGACCCUGUGGAGCUUAAGACCCAGAGCAGCUCACGUCAAUCAACCGCACUCAAGGAUUAAACCAGGUGAGAGCUCCUCCUCUGUCUUCGGUUGGGGUGACCAUGGGGCAAACCCAACCCCCAUGUAGACAGGGAGCACUAGAGGACACCUUACCACAAAUCCCACAAUUUCACUCCCACAAACCAGAGCUCCGGCUCUAGUUAACGAAACUCUUCGACUUAGAUUGAUCCGGGCUAACCGAUCAACGAACCAAGUUACCCCAGGGAUAACAGCGCUAU
RNAcentral lists this ribosomal RNA (1351 nucleotides) under Arnoglossus polyspilus (many-spotted lefteye flounder). RNAcentral's name for it is "16S ribosomal RNA". It matches the Rfam family "Bacterial large subunit ribosomal RNA", at positions 216 to 2486 of the family's 2925-position model. Lineage: Eukaryota; Metazoa; Chordata; Actinopteri; Pleuronectiformes; Bothidae. The record is from RNAcentral.